Molecule: long non-coding RNA, 1941 nt
Organism: Triticum aestivum (bread wheat)
Lineage: Eukaryota; Viridiplantae; Streptophyta; Magnoliopsida; Poales; Poaceae
Exons: 5
Source: RefSeq, a predicted model, not a curated record
AAAUAUAAAUCCUCUCACGCACUCCCUCCGCCGCCGACCGCUAGCUAUCUGGCAGCCUGCACGCUGUUGACCGCCCGCCAUCUCCAGCACGUCAUCAUCGCGGUAGCAAGGUUGCUGCCCUGUCUCCUUCGUCCUCCUGCACCCCCACUACUUAGCCCCCAAACACUUCUAACCCUAUCUUGUGCGCUGGUGUUCGGGGAGAGGCCAAGGCGCGGUGGUGGACAACACCGUCCCUCUCAGAUCCGGGGCAGAGAGAGAGGUGGUUCACCUGCGAGAGAGAGCACUCGCACCCUCACUCGUCACCCAGGAGCCGCCACCACCGCCGCCACGCCAUGGGCUUCCUCAGAUCUGUGCCACCCUGUUCGUUUGAAGAAGGAUCUGGCCGUUGAUUGCUGGUGCUUCCCCUCGCCCGACGAUCUGCCAUGACUUGGGAUAGUACUUCUGUCCAGCAAGCAGCGCUUUGGCUGGGAGCUCAAGCUCAAGCAGAACGUCAAAAACAUGGGCUCUAUCUGCUAAUGGGGUAGCCGGCAAUGCAGUCUAAGGGCUGGCUACUGCUCAUCUGAUUUCUGGAUAUGAGAGGAUGAGAACUUGAGAAGAACAAGCUUGAUGCUAUGAUUGCAAAAAAAUCUGUACUACAGGUGAGAGUUAAGACACACCAUACACAGGCUCUGUAAGAUGGCGGAAAUAUUCCUCUUCGUCAACGACUUCUACGAGGACGAUAUUGACCUAGAGGCUGGAGCUUUGCUACUCCUUCCGGCCAACAACAAGGCAUCGUUUACUUUUUCUCUCCCCACAUCCAAUACUUCCCUGUUCCUGUCCCUACCGCUUAUUUCUUGCUAUAGGGCAACACACUACAAGUGUUUGAUAAACUGUUAGUCUCAAUGCUCCAAUUCUGGCAGAAGGAUUUUCGGUAGGAAGACAUAGCACCAAUCAAGGAUUUUCGGUAGGAAGACAUAGCAUCACUCAUGGUUAUAUAUAUUUACUAUUGUAUUUCUGUAUUUUUGCAAAAUUAGUUCUGUGAAGCUUCUAGAUUAUUUUAGUUCUUCAGUGGUUUUACCCUUAGGCUUAGCUUGUAUUAACUUACAACUUUUUUCUCCAUAAUUUUGCAACAAUAGUUCUAUAGUACUUAAUACAGUUUUUCUAGAAUCAUGAUAAAAUACAUAUAUAUCUAGCCGUUUGUAUUUCGACGGUCAUGUUUCUAAAGAUUUUAAAGUUUUAUUUUCACUAUAAAUUUGCUUUAGUUGUUCUGUAACUUCCAGCAUAGUUCAGUUAAGGGGUUCUAGUCUUAGGCUUGUAUAAACUUACAACAUCUUUCAUUUGCAAUGACAAUGGUUUCACAACUGUAGACAGUUCAUCUUUAUAAGGCCAUUGUAUCCAUGAAGAAAUUUGUUACUUAUUUCUGAAUACAUCUCGUACUGUUUAUCGCAUUUUAAGAUAUGGCAUGAAGCUAGCUAAGGGCUUUUAUUAUUUCUAGCAGCAUGUGAUUCACUGAACAAAAAAAGGACUGCACUCACAUAUGAAAUGCUUGCAAGUUAUAGAAAAAUGAAGCAAAGGACCAACGGUGUAGGAGAAAUCUUCUCAGUUUCUGAAUCCUGAGCAGUAGCAAGUCAGGUGCUUAAUGGUGAUCCUACCACGCAUAUGUCAUAAGCAGGAAUGACAUGCAAGAGAACCAGGAAGGAACCAUGAAGAUGGCAGUUUGCAUCAGCUAGACAUUUUGUGUAAUGGAGCAAAUACAAUGUGUCUUUUAGUUAUCGUUUUGUAAACCUAUAUGGUGUCUUGUCAACUGGGUAUUUUGUGUAAAGGAGCAAACAAUGAAUCGUCAGACAUGCAUCUAUCAUUUUGUAAACCAAUCAGGUGUCUUGGUGAUUGAAACAUAAAUGUUUCCUCCUUUCAAUUAGUUACUUUUACCUAUAAGAACAUUCUUCUUUGGUUGUGGUUUAA